Haemorhous mexicanus (house finch) is the source of this 963-nucleotide long non-coding RNA. RefSeq lists it as uncharacterized. Lineage: Eukaryota; Metazoa; Chordata; Aves; Passeriformes; Fringillidae. The transcript has 2 exons. The record is from RefSeq and is a predicted model, not a curated record.
CAGGAAUUUUGAAUUUUUAAUUUCUCCUUUUUUUCCCCUUUUUUCUCCCAUUUCCAGCUGGAUUUCCUGCAGCAGCCGGGCAGGUUGGAGCCCCUCGUGGGGAGCCCUUUGUUCUCCACCCAACGCCUCGAGGGCAAUGGCAGCUGCACCCCCUCGUCCAUCACCUCCCCCGCCACCGACCCGGGCAGCGACGCCUCCAAUUAAAGAAUUUUUACUUCAAAAGACCUUUUUGAGAGGAAAGAGGUCAAUUAACACUAAUUAAUCACGGCCUGAUGGAACAAUUAACUCAAAAAAUGAAUGAAUUACCUCAGAAGAAGCCAAUAGAUUGUGAUGGCAGCCACACCUCUACCUCUCAGUAUUUAUAACUUCAUUUCGCCUCAGAAAAUGCCGUUUUUUUAAGGAAAAAACUUUGGAUUUUACACAAAGAACCUGAAGAAGAAGGGAAAAAAAAAAAAAGUCUUGGCGUUUGUCUCCACUUUUACGGCGGAAAAAAUGGAUUUAUUUUUGGUUUUGUCUGGUUUUUUUACGCUGGGAUUUCUGUUCUAGGUGAGUUGAACCCCUCAUAUUGUAAGUGGAUGUUCUCUGCAUUGGAAUUUUCUAGAGGAAAUUUCUGUAGGAAAUUCUAUAGAGAAUUCUGUAGGAAAUUUUUCUUAAUUAAUUUAGCUAAUUAAUGGAAGAGUUCCUUUACCAAACUUCUCGCCGGACGUCGCCCGCAGGCCGGACCUUCCACUGGUGUCAUUCCAAGGGAUUUCAUAUCGGGAAAUUCCACGGCUUCACUUUUUCUGAUGAAAAAGUCCAAAAAUAAAAUGAAAAACCCCAAAUUUACCACAAAACAGCCGAACCACAGGAUUUCCCCAUGGGAAUUCGAGGAGGUUUGUGCCGUUCUGGUGCUGCUCUCAGAGUCCGCCCCUUUCAGUUGAGAUUUUAUCAAAGACAAUAAAUUUCCAAAGCCUUUUUUUUCCC